GUAGGUGAACCUGCGGAAGGAUCAUUAACACGAAUUAUUUUAUUAUCCAAUAUCAAAAACCAAACGUGAACCUUUUUCCUCCCUAUAUAUUCCAUAUAUAUUAUAUAUAUUUAUUUAUAUAUCUCUAUGUGUUAUAUAUAGGCUAACCUCAUCUAUAUAAAUUUUAACACUAUAAACUUCAACUAGUUUUAAUUUAGCUAUUAAAACAUCUAAACUAAAAAAGACAAGGUUAUUCGAAAGAGUAAACUUU
Molecule: unclassified non-coding RNA, 250 nt
Filed under: plant metagenome
Description: partial contains small subunit ribosomal RNA, internal transcribed spacer 1, and 5.8S ribosomal RNA
Source: RNAcentral